AUUUGAUUAUAUGAAUAGAUAAUCGUAUUAAUCCAAGUCCAGAGAAAAUAUCUUUUCUCUCUCUAUUCCUAGCCUCCAAAUUUCCUUUUCGAUUUGAAAUCCUGCUCAUCUAAAAGGAGAAACAAACAAUAUAUAUAUGCAUCCAAAUGAAACUUUCUAAAACCCACCAUGUUCAUGCAAACUGUAGGUAAGAUUAUGCUACAAGACUUAUUAAAUUUUCCAAUCACCAUUUAACCAUCAGUCUUACCUAUUAGCAAAAAAACUUAUGCUUUCGUUUUAUUUACAAUCUUUUGUACUUCUAAGCAGCAAAUGGCAAAAACCAGACAUCUAAUAAGUGCUCAGAAAAUAUGCUGUAUGGCAUGUGCAUAAUCACAGAAGUAUGAUGAAAUCUUAACUUCACAAAUGUCUUCAUGCAAUGUGAUCGCACAAUCUACAUUGGCAAAAAAAUCUGUUGGAGGAGUGCACUGAAAAGCUGAAUCUGAACAUGGCUGCACGAUGAGUGUUCUUGGCAGACGGCACUGAAGCACUAGAACCUAAAGACAUACCCCACGAUGCCGACGUUUAUAUUUCAGCUGGAGAGACCUUUUUAGAUCCAUUCAAAAAAUCAAAGGACGAGGCUGCGAGCAGGGCCGCGGCUGAGGACCGGAUCCAGCCAGCCUGGCGGGUGGGGCUACAGCGCGCCACUAAAGGGAAGGUGUCUGAGAAGGAGCUUGGAUUGGUUGGAAGCUUCUGGAACACGCGAGGCGCGGCAGAACUGAAAGCUUCUCUUCUGGCCUGCCUCCAAAGAUGAUGAGAAUUUCUUCAAGAGUACGUACCGAAAUUUUGGUCUGAAAAAGAAAGGAUGAUAUGCAGUAACAGCAAUUUGUAAAUAUAUGCCGAAAUGUGUGUCUCGAUCACUGAUGAUGAUGCUUAUCUGUUUGGUAAGUAGAUCUCAAAACACAGGUCAAAGAUCUCAAAUUUAUACAACAUAGAUUUGUUGUAAGCUAUAGAAGUCUGUUCUGAAAGCAUCUUGAAUCAAAGUAGAAAUGGAUACAUUUGUUAGUACUUUAUUUAGAAAACAGCUUAAAAAUAUACUGAAAGGUGGAAUGCUAAAACCCCUUGGUCAUUGAGGGAGAUGCCAGUAAAACCUAUGUCAUAUUUCAUUUUAAAGGUUUCUGGCAAUUUAUUAUUUUACUACAGACAAUUUAAAUUCUAACAUUACAGAUUCUUAGAGCCCUUUAUUGUUUUGGGUAUUUACUUUUAAAAUCCGUUAAUUUUAAAAGUUAAACGGUAUUCCGUUUUCUGAGCUAUUUUAGACCUCUUAUUGAUAUUUAAGUUUUCCUUUUAGCUAGUCAGUGGG
RNAcentral lists this long non-coding RNA (1339 nucleotides) under Struthio camelus australis. RNAcentral's name for it is "lncRNA (ENSSCUG00000002097.1)". Lineage: Eukaryota; Metazoa; Chordata; Aves; Struthioniformes; Struthionidae. The record is from RNAcentral.